GACGAACGCUGGCGGCGUGCCUAAUACAUGCAAGUCGAGUGGACUGAAUGGGAGCUUGCUCUUGUUCGGUCAGCGGCGGACGGGUGAGUAACACGUGGGCAACCUGCCCGCAAGACCGGGAUAACUCCGGGAAACCGGAGCUAAUACCGGAUAACACCGAAGACCGCAUGGUCUUUGGUUGAAAGGCGGCGCAAGCUGCCACUUGCGGAUGGGCCCGCGGCGCAUUAGCUAGUUGGUGAGGUAACGGCUCACCAAGGCGACGAUGCGUAGCCGGCCUGAGAGGGUGACCGGCCACACUGGGACUGAGACACGGCCCAGACUCCUACGGGAGGCAGCAGUAGGGAAUCUUCCGCAAUGGGCGAAAGCCUGACGGAGCGACGCCGCGUGAGCGAAGAAGGCCUUCGGGUCGUAAAGCUCUGUUGUGAGGGACGAAGGAGCGCCGUUUGAAGAAGGCGGCGCGGUGACGGUACCUCACGAGGAAGCCCCGGCUAACUACGUG
This 499-nucleotide ribosomal RNA is filed under the name uncultured bacterium. RNAcentral's name for it is "partial 16S ribosomal RNA". It matches the Rfam family "Bacterial small subunit ribosomal RNA", at positions 28 to 507 of the family's 1533-position model. The record is from RNAcentral.